AUACAGAGGGUGCGAGCGUUAAUCGGAAUUACUGGGCGUAAAGCGCGCGUAGGCGGCUACUUAAGUCAGAUGUGAAAUCCCCGGGCUCAACCUGGGAACUGCAUCUGAUACUGGGUAGCUAGAGUUUAGGAGAGGGAAGUAGAAUUUCAGGUGUAGCGGUGAAAUGCAUAGAGAUCUGAAGGAAUACCCGUGGCGAAGGCGGCUUCCUGGCCUAAAACUGACGCUGAGGUGCGAAAGCGUGGGUAGCAAACGGGAUUAGAAACCCCAGUAGUCC
This 274-nucleotide ribosomal RNA is filed under the name uncultured bacterium. RNAcentral's name for it is "partial 16S ribosomal RNA". It matches the Rfam family "Bacterial small subunit ribosomal RNA", at positions 523 to 796 of the family's 1533-position model. The record is from RNAcentral.